Molecule: long non-coding RNA, 870 nt
Organism: Homarus americanus (American lobster)
Lineage: Eukaryota; Metazoa; Arthropoda; Malacostraca; Decapoda; Nephropidae
Exons: 2
Source: RefSeq, a predicted model, not a curated record
CAGUGAGCAUCAGUGUCGCAGUAGAUGUUAUCACUCAACUCACCACUGAUUUAUAUCAGUUCCGGCUCCGCCCACUAAACAUCUCUCACAUACCACAACACUGUCCCAGGGUAUAUAAAGGUGUUGAUCUCACCUGAGUUUCAUACCUGACCAGUUACUCAGAGGAAAAAGUUGAAAUAUACCGUAACGACUCAAGUCACCUGACAACAUUAACAUCGUAUUUCUGCUUAAUGUCCCUAGCUGUUGAGGGGCAGUCAAUAACGUCAUAACGUUAAAGUCAGACACUAAAUUACCAUCAAAACGUGAGUAACAUCAGUUGUCAUUGAAGCCAGCCAUCUCUCUAAACAAUCCACCUUGAACUAAGAGACAGAGUUACAGUUGGUGAAGACCCUGUGUGAGGACCCACCGUCAGGAUGGUGAAGGGACGAGACCUGCUGGACCUCCUGCACCAUCACCAUACAGACCCGCUGAAGGUGAGGCUAUGGUCCAGUAGUGUCCAUAGUAACAGCAGUGACAGCAGCCGCAGCAACAGUGACAUUAGCAGUCUUGGUUACAGUGACAGGUCAGACAAGGUCAAAGUCACUACUCCCUCGUCAAACAACAAGACCAAGAAACAGAAGAAGAGCGAUCACAAGCACCACCACCUACUGCUAACCAACAGUCUCCUCUCCUACGUGUAUGUUAACCGUUAAUGGCAACUAUUACCUGUUAAACGGGAAGAAGAACAAAUGAAAAAUAGAAUUAUAUGUCAAAAGCAAAACAAAAAUAUUCUUGUGUUGUUUUGUAUUUAUUCUUAGAUUUAAUAAUGACGUACAGUAACAAAACUAACUGUGAUCAUAGGUUAAUAAUAAAUGGUAAGGCUUAUAUGAA